Molecule: ribosomal RNA, 253 nt
Filed under: uncultured bacterium
Lineage: Bacteria
Description: partial 16S ribosomal RNA
Rfam family: Bacterial small subunit ribosomal RNA
Source: RNAcentral
UACGUAGGGUGCAAGCGUUAAUCGGAAUCAUUGGGCGUAAAGCGCGUGUAGGCGGUUCCGUAAGUCCGCUCUGAAAGCCCAGGGCUCAACCCUGGGAGGCGGGUGGAUACUACGGAACUGGAGUACGGAAGAGGAGAUUGGAAUUCCUGGUGUAGCGGUGAAAUGCGCAGAUAUCAGGAGGAACACCAACAGCGAAGGCAGAUCUCUGGGACGUUACUGACGCUGAGACGCGAAAGCGUGGGGAGCAAACAGG